GGUCGGUGAAUUUGUUUAUUGUUUUCCUUACACACGUGUAACUGUCAUUGGCUUCUUCACGUCGCCUCUUUCCACGUUACCUUUCAUCUUUACCAAAUCGAUUAAACGUCUCCAUUCUUCUUGAACCCUAAAUCGAUAAUCAGAAAUCGAUCGCAUGACAACAACUGCGCUCAAACCUGGCACCCAUCUCCUCCUUCGCAAGCCCUAAGUUCUCCUUCUAUUUGACCACCAGAUCUCCUCAGCGUGUCAUCCUUAAACUCGGGUUUGCCGAGCCUCGAUUUUGCCUUCAUACAAUGGGCAGAAGUUGGAUUGUUGAUGGUAGAGCUAUUGCAUGAAAGGUUGAAACCUGUUGUCUGCCUUUGGUAAAUAAAGUCAAAGACUGGAGCAAUUCAGGAUUGACCAUGAUGCCAUUUCAGGAUUGAUAGUAGUGAUGUAUCAGUAGAGUAGUGGUCUGGGCUUCCCAUUGGUGUGAAAUUUGAACCCACUGAUCUGAUCUUGAGCUCUUAGAACAUUCGGCAGCCAAAUGUGGUGUGGGGAAUCAAAAACCACACCAAUUAAUUGAUGAGUUCAUCCCUACACUUGAUGUAGAUGAAGGAAUAUGUUCCAAACAUCCUCCUGAAAAUCUUCCUGGGUAGUCACGUUGAGAAAAUAUUAUAUGGACUCAGCUAUAUAGGAGCAACUAACUAAUGCAUCAUUGUUGGGAGUGAGAUGGACAAACUUGCAAUUGAAGAACCAGGUUUAAAGAACCGUGGUGUUCCUCAAAAAGUUUCUUACAAGGAUUUACCAUCUCAAAAACAGGUUUUAGUUUAAGUUCAAAUUAGAUCAUUUUAUAUUAAUAUGUUAGAUAGUAACAUAAAGUUUUGGUAAAUAUUAGGAUUAUGGAUUUGAGAGUUAUACAGUUUAAUAAAUACAUAUCGGGUAUUAAUGUGUUUACUUAAUAUCUUGAUUUGCCACUGUGUGUUGUCAACUUGUCAUUUGUUUUAGACUCCCACAUUGCCCGAGAGAAUUUCACUAGCAAGAUUGGUAUGCGCUGGUAUUGUAUGUCGUACAACUCCUGUAAACAUAAAACAUGA
Molecule: long non-coding RNA, 1073 nt
Filed under: Helianthus annuus (common sunflower)
Lineage: Eukaryota; Viridiplantae; Streptophyta; Magnoliopsida; Asterales; Asteraceae
Description: sRNA HanXRQr2_Chr12g0533791
Source: RNAcentral